Camelina sativa (false flax) is the source of this 702-nucleotide long non-coding RNA. RefSeq lists it as uncharacterized. The record is from RefSeq and is a predicted model, not a curated record. Lineage: Eukaryota; Viridiplantae; Streptophyta; Magnoliopsida; Brassicales; Brassicaceae.
AAAUCAAGAAUAGUCGAAACGAUUUACCGAGAGAGUUUUCUUGAUCAAAAACAAAUUGAAUCAACAUCAUUGAUCGGAUUAAUCCGAUAAUCUCUGAGGCAAUGAUCUUUUCAGUUCGGAAUCCCAGUAAAGGCUCCAUCAGCAGAUUUAUCCGAAAAUCUGUCUUUUUUUAAUUCUCCGAUUACACAAAAUUGAUCGGAAUUAUCCGAUAAUCUGUCUUUUUGUAAUUUUCAGAUUUCGACAUCAAUGGAUAAGUAAGAUUAGGUGUGGAUUCCAAACGUAUUCGAUCGAAUAUGGGUCUUCUUUACCAGGAAAACAAAUAAAAGAAGCCUAAAUGAAAGAUAAGGAUCCGGAACCCCUUUAAAUUCUGUCUUUACAUCUACUCUGUUGAAUCUGAAACUCUAAUGUUAACCAUUUACUUUUGACAGGGUUUAAUUUCUUCGAAUUAGGCGCUCAUUGGAAUUGCAUAAAUUGGAUUGAAGAAGGACUAUGAACAUACUAGUGUAUUGAAAGCAAAUCAAUGGUUAAACUACCUUAUAAAAUCUGAAGUGGAGCAAAAUACAAAUCUCUACACAAUCCUAAUAUAAUGGGCGUGAAUUUAGUUGUGGAUUAAGGUGGGAAAGAGAUCAAUUUCGGAUCUACAAUAUGACAGAUUAGUUUCUUUACUACAAUAUGAAAGAUUAUUUUAUUAACAAAACAUAG